Molecule: long non-coding RNA, 727 nt
Filed under: Triticum aestivum (bread wheat)
Lineage: Eukaryota; Viridiplantae; Streptophyta; Magnoliopsida; Poales; Poaceae
Description: long non-coding RNA (TAES_LNC025214)
Source: RNAcentral
UGGUGUUACAUGAUAGAAUAAAUGCAAAAGGAGCAUAGAAGGACACCAUUCGUUCUUCGUUCUAUGAAAGAAAAAGUUAAGGGAGUAGAUUGGCCUAGAAGAAAGAACAAGAACAUUAGAAAUGGAAACUAAUAUUAUACAACUAUGCCUCACUUGAAAGUCUUGUAAAUACUUAUUUUUGACUCUUUUAGUAUAUGUGGGAAUUAUUAAAUAAUGAUAUCUUGCCACAAAUUACACAAAACUUGUACUCAUUCCAAUCGUGCAGGAACAAGUGUAAACUAGUGCAACUUUAAUAAUAAUAUUUAUGAUUUGAGAAGAUUAAUUGAAAAAUAAUUCCAUGUUAAGUUCAAAACAAAAUUUAAGUAGUGGCACACAAUUUUCACAACAAACCACUGUCAUAUGCAUAAUUAUAUGAGAAAUACAAUGGCCUGAAAGUCGACUAACAAAAAAACAAGAGGAACUACCAACACGAGCGAGAAAAUUAAAAUAUUUUUUCAUUCUGCUCACUUUUUCUUAUUGGUAAACAAAGACAUAUAUAAACAUAAAAGAACUAACAAUCAACCUAAGAGGAAAGAAUCAUGGAAAUGGUGUUACCUGAAACAAAAACAAAAACAUAAAUAGAAAAAGUAAAAAAUCCAAGAAUAAAUGAAUUAAGGGCAUUGAUAUAACGUGAAAUAAGAACAAAUAAAACUGAUACACUUCCGAACCAUGGACAAAACUUGUACUC